UGGGGAAUUUUGGACAAUGGGCGCAAGCCUGAUCCAGCCAUGCCGCGUGCGGGAAGAAGGCCUCCGGGUUGUAAACCGCUUUUGUCAGGGAAGAAAUCUUCUGAGUUAAUACCUCGGGAGGAUGACGGUACCUGAAGAAUAAGCACCGGCUAACUACGUGCCAGCAGCCGCGGUAAUACGUAGGGUGCAAGCGUUAAUCGGAAUACUGGGCGUAAAGCGUGCGCAGGCGGUUUUGUAAGACAGAGGUGAAAUCCCCGGGCUCAACCUGGGAACUGCCUUUGUGACUGCAAGGCUUGAGUGCGGCAGAGGGGGAUGGAAUUCCGCGUGUAGCAGUGAAAUGCGUAGAUAUGCGGAGGAACACCGAUGGCGAAGGCAAUCCCCUGGGCCUGCACUGACGCUCAUGCACGAAAGCGUGGGGAGCAAAACAGGAUUAGAUACCCUGGUAGUCCACGCCCUAAACGAUGUCAACUGGUUGUUGGGAAGGUUCCUUCUCAGUAACGUAGCUAACGCGUGAAGUUGACCGCCUGGGGAGUACGGCCGCAAGGUU
RNAcentral lists this ribosomal RNA (547 nucleotides) under uncultured bacterium. RNAcentral describes it as "partial 16S ribosomal RNA". It matches the Rfam family "Bacterial small subunit ribosomal RNA", at positions 355 to 895 of the family's 1533-position model. The record is from RNAcentral.